Molecule: long non-coding RNA, 219 nt
Organism: Notolabrus celidotus (New Zealand spotty)
Lineage: Eukaryota; Metazoa; Chordata; Actinopteri; Labriformes; Labridae
Exons: 3
Source: RefSeq, a predicted model, not a curated record
CAGCAUAUGGAGGCUGUCCUGCAGAAGAUUUGUGGGGGAAAGAAUGACAACUGACGAGAGAUUGCAGCGUCCUGAACAUCAUUAUUGAAAGGGUUCCUUCACCCAAAAUUGGCUUUAUGGUCUAUCGACAGUACACCCUUCAUUAUAGUUGAUGAUGCUGGCAAAACUUCACAUACUUCCAAGGUGCACGGAGAUGGAAAGGAAGUCCAGAAAGGUCAG